RNAcentral lists this ribosomal RNA (247 nucleotides) under uncultured bacterium. Its description in RNAcentral is "partial 16S ribosomal RNA". It matches the Rfam family "Bacterial small subunit ribosomal RNA", at positions 523 to 769 of the family's 1533-position model. The record is from RNAcentral.
AUACGAAGGGGGCUAGCGUUGUUCGGAAUUACUGGGCGUAAAGCGCACGUAGGCGGGUAUUUAAGUCAGGGGUGAAAUCCCAGAGCUCAACUCUGGAACUGCCUUUGAUACUGGGUACCUAGAGUAUGGAAGAGGUGAGUGGAAUUCCGAGUGUAGAGGUGAAAUUCGUAGAUAUUCGGAGGAACACCAGUGGCGAAGGCGGCUCACUGGUCCAUUACUGACGCUGAGGUGCGAAAGCGUGGGGAGC